Mytilus californianus (California mussel) is the source of this 998-nucleotide long non-coding RNA. RefSeq lists it as uncharacterized. NCBI's taxonomy places the organism in Eukaryota, Metazoa, Mollusca, Bivalvia, Mytilida, Mytilidae. The transcript is spliced from 3 exons. The record is from RefSeq and is a predicted model, not a curated record.
GGUAACAGGUCUGUGGAAUCGGAACAAACAUUCUGACCUUCAAUCUGUUAAAGUUCGAUCUACAAGAGUCGAGAAAGAGUGGCAGUGUCGAUAGAAAAAGCGUCUGUUAUCCAAAUAAAUCAGGGAACCAGUUCAAGAAAGACAAACUUUUUGUGACCUUGAAGAUGCAGGUCAUGCAGAGCUUUGCUGAAUGAAAACACGUCAGUACGACAGGAGCAUGUUGUUGAAAUGAUUUCAAUAUAUAUGAUUGACAUAUAUCCAUAGGACAUGCAGUUAGCCUAGACAAUUCUCUGUAAAGUUCAAGGACUUUCUUAGUCAAAUAUGGGAAGAUGUGAAAGGAUACAUAGAAAUCUUGGAGGACAAAUUGACGAGAGUCUUAAAAGACACAGAUAUGAAGAUAAACAAGAGGAAAAGAAUGCCAGACAUAGUUCAUUUUGUAGUUUAAAGGACUGCAGACUUCCUGAUAUCUUUCAAACUGUUGUGUUUUUUGGUAUAAAUGUAAUAAUGCAUUAUCAUCUUAUUUGUAUAGGCAUAAUUUGUAUAAUUUGGAGUUUAGUAUGACGUCCAUUAUCACUAAACUAGUAUACAUAUUUGUUUAGGGGCCAGCUGAAGGACGCCUCUUGGUGCGGGAGUUUCUCGCUGCAUUGAAGACCCAUUGGUGGCCUUCGGCUGUUGUCUGCUCUAUGGUCGGGUUGUUGUCUCUUUGACACAUUCCCCAUUUCCAUUCUCUAUUUUAUACAUCCUGAAAAUCUUGUUGGUACCUUUUAUCUCCAUUAAUGCAACUGCUAUUUAUAAAACAUUGUUGUGAUUGUAGUUAUAUAUGUGAGUUUAUUAGUUAACUUGUGCGUAGUAAUUGCAUAUAUGAAUUAUUUUAUACCAUAUCUAUCAAUCUUUGUCUUUUAAUUAAGAAAUAAUUUUUAAAACCUUGCUCUUUCAAUCCUAGUACAUCUAUUUUAAUUAUUUUGCAUAGUUUAUAAGUUUAAGUAAUGCCAUUUUAU